AUUUAAAUAGCUUAAAUUAAAGCAUGAUAUUGAAGAUAUCAAGAUAAUUUUAAUAUUUUUAAAUA
RNAcentral lists this transfer RNA (65 nucleotides) under Hydrochus sp. BMNH 840193. RNAcentral's name for it is "tRNA-Phe". Lineage: Eukaryota; Metazoa; Arthropoda; Insecta; Coleoptera; Hydrochidae. The record is from RNAcentral.